This 305-nucleotide ribosomal RNA is filed under the name uncultured bacterium. RNAcentral's name for it is "bacterial SSU rRNA". It matches the Rfam family "Bacterial small subunit ribosomal RNA", at positions 338 to 660 of the family's 1533-position model. The record is from RNAcentral.
CCUACGGGAGGCAGCUGUGGGGAAUAUUGCACAAUGGGGGAAGCCCUGAUGCAGCGACGCCGCGUGAAGGAAGAAGUAUUUCGGUAUGUAAACUUCUAUCAGCAGGGAAGAAAAUGACGGUACCUGACUAAGAAGCCCCGGCUAACUGCGUGCCAGCAGCCGCGGUAAUACGUAGGGGGCAAGCGUUAUCCGGAUUUACUGGGUGUAAAGGGAGCGUAGGCGGUGCAGCAAGUCAGAAGUGAAAGCCCGGGGCUCAACUCCGGGACUGCUUUUGAAACUGCUGAACUAGAUUGCAGGAGAGGUAA